GACGAACGCUGGCGGCGUGCUUAACACAUGCAAGUCGAGCGGUAAGGCCCUUUCGGGGGUACACGAGCGGCGAACGGGUGAGUAACACGUGGGUGACCUGCCCUCAGCUCUGGGAUAAGCCUGGGAAACCGGGUCUAAUACCGGAUAUGACUCCAUGACGCAUGUUGUGGGGUGGAAAGCCUUGUGCGGCUGAGGAUGGGCCCGCGGCCUAUCAGCUUGUUGGUGGGGUGAUGGCCUACCAAGGCGACGACGGGUAGCCGGCCUGAGAGGGCGACCGGCCACACUGGGACUGAGACACGGCCCAGACUCCGUACGGGAGGCAGCAGGUGGGGAAUCUUGCGCAAGUGGGCGAAAGCCUGACGCAGCGACGCCGCGUGAGGG
RNAcentral lists this ribosomal RNA (381 nucleotides) under uncultured bacterium. RNAcentral's name for it is "bacterial SSU rRNA". It matches the Rfam family "Bacterial small subunit ribosomal RNA", at positions 28 to 407 of the family's 1533-position model. The record is from RNAcentral.